CCAGGGACCUGUAGGCAGGUGGAGAGGGGAUGGGGGAGGUCUCAGGUCCUCUUGCUCACCCAUCAGCUGUGUAGUGUCUGAAGUGAUUAAGGAGCUUGGGGAGAGCCCUGAAUGGGAAGAAAUGGGUUCCAUGUGCAGCAAGCCAGGAGAGAUUUAGGCAACGAGAACCUCCAGUUCUGUCUUAGGGUUCCCAGCUUUCUCCUUGUCCUGAGGGAGCCGCUGAGCCUGUGGGAGAUGAGGGGUGCCCAUUCCCCAGUGCUUCUCACCCUCCCCCACCUGCCCUCCUGGGGUACCUUUGUCUGCCACUUGCAUCCUAUUGGAAGCUGUCCCCAAGUGCGUGUUAGGCAGGUGGCAGGUGCUGGAGCAGAGUGCACCACCCUCCGGCGAUCACUGUGAGUUGGGGUAAGAGUGGGGUGUUCCUGCCAGCCCCAGGAGAGGGGAAAGCAAGCCCCCGUCCACCCUUGUGGGUCUCUGCUCCUGGAAAAGGUGCUCUAGCAGGCUCAUCUGUGUGAGUCACUGUCUUCCAUGUGGGGGGCUGUGCUGAAGAAGCCUUGGUGAUAUGGGUGCAAAUGCCAAAAACAUGGAAUGCUGGAAGCCAAGCUUGCACAUUCUAGGCAGCCAUUUGGAAGAUUCUUCUCUGCGCAUGACCAGCUGAAAAGGAAAAACCCCGAAACAUUGGCACUGUGAUUUCUCCAUGUGAACAGUUUAGUUCGCCGAGGUGGACAUGCCUCAUUCAUGCUUAUGGAGUGACCGACCAGCCUUUAGUGACACCCCCUGAAAUGUGAGUCAUCCAUGGGUCACUAGUCAUUGGAGAAGAGCCCCUUAUACAAAACUUGGAGCUCAGACCACAAACAACAACAACAAUCCAAAAAAUAAAAAAAUGAAAAAUUAGGAGCAGAGACUAAAUGGAAAGAUGGAAAUAUUAAAAUAAAAAUAUUAUUUUAAAAAUU
Molecule: long non-coding RNA, 950 nt
Filed under: Homo sapiens (human)
Lineage: Eukaryota; Metazoa; Chordata; Mammalia; Primates; Hominidae
Description: HSALNT0368235
Source: RNAcentral